GGCCGCGUGGCGUAAUGGCAAUGCGUCUGACUACGAAUCAGGAGAUUGCAGGUUCGACCCCUGCCUCGGUCA
Molecule: non-coding RNA, 72 nt
Organism: Armillaria fumosa
Lineage: Eukaryota; Fungi; Basidiomycota; Agaricomycetes; Agaricales; Physalacriaceae
Source: the annotation of a GenBank genome assembly